CCUACGGGGGGCAGCAGUGAGGAAUAUUGGUCAAUGGACGCAAGUCUGAACCAGCCAUGCCGCGUGCAGGAAGACGGCUCUAUGAGUUGUAAACUGCUUUUGUACGAGGGUAAACGCAGAUACGCGUAUCUGUCUGCAAGUAUCGUACGAAUAAGGAUCGGCUAACUCUGUGCCAGCAGCCGCGGUAAUACGGAGGAUUCAAGCGUUAUCCGGAUUUAUUGGGUUUAACGGGUGCGUAGGCGGUCGGAUAAGUUAGAGGUGAAAUCCCGAGGCUCAACUUCGGAAUUGCCUCUGAUACUGUUCGGCUAGAGAGUAGUUGCGGUAGGCGGAAUGUAUGGUGUAGCGGUGAAAUGCUUAGAGAUCAUACAGAACACCGAUUGCGAAGGCAGCUUACCAAGCUACGUCUGACGUUGAGGCACGAAAGCGUGGGGAGCAAACAGGAUUAGAUACCCUGGUAGUC
Molecule: ribosomal RNA, 460 nt
Filed under: uncultured bacterium
Lineage: Bacteria
Description: partial 16S ribosomal RNA
Rfam family: Bacterial small subunit ribosomal RNA
Source: RNAcentral